GACGAACGCUGGCGGCGUGCUUAACACAUGCAAGUCGAACGGUGAAAGGGAGCUUGCUCCCUGGAUCAGUGGCGAACGGGUGAGUAACACGUGGGCAACCUGCCCCAGACUUCGGGAUAACGCUUCGAAAGGAGUGCUAAUACCGGAUACGAACUCCUUGGGCAUCCUUGGGGUUGGAAAGUUUUUCGGUCUGGGAUGGGCCCGCGGCCUAUCAGCUUGUUGGUGAGGUAACGGCUCACCAAGGCGACGACGGGUAGCCGGCCUGAGAGGGCGACCGGCCACACUGGGACUGAGACACGGCCCAGACUCCUACGAGAGGCAGCAGUGGGGAAUAGUGCGCAAUGGGCGAAAGCCUGACGCAGCAACGCCGCGUGAGGGAUGACGGCCUUCGGGUUGUAAACCUCUUUCAGCAGGGAAGAAGCGAAAGUGACGGUACCUGCAGAAGAAGCACCGGCUAACUACGUGCCAGCCGCCGCGGUAA
This 481-nucleotide ribosomal RNA is filed under the name uncultured bacterium. RNAcentral describes it as "partial 16S ribosomal RNA". It matches the Rfam family "Bacterial small subunit ribosomal RNA", at positions 28 to 523 of the family's 1533-position model. The record is from RNAcentral.